This 348-nucleotide unclassified non-coding RNA is filed under the name soil metagenome. RNAcentral's name for it is "partial contains 5.8S ribosomal RNA, internal transcribed spacer 2, and large subunit ribosomal RNA". The stretch from base 1 to 120 matches the Rfam family "5.8S ribosomal RNA", at positions 35 to 154 of the family's 154-position model. The record is from RNAcentral.
GAUGAAGAACGCAGCGAAAUGCGAUAAGUAAUGUGAAUUGCAGAAUUCAGUGAAUCAUCGAAUCUUUGAACGCACAUUGCGCCCGCCAGUAUUCUGGCGGGCAUGCCUGUCUGAGCGUCAUUUCAACCCUCAUGCCCCUAGGGCGUGGUGUUGGGGAUCGGCCAAAGCCCGCGAGGGACGGCCGGCCCCUAAAUCUAGUGGCGGACCCGUCGUGGCCUCCUCUGCGGAGUAGUGAUAUUCCGCAUCGGAGAGCGACGAGCCCCUGCCGUUAAACCCCCAACUUUCCAAGGUUGACCUCAGAUCAGGUAGGAAUACCCGCUGAACUUAAGCAUAUCAAUAAGCGGAGGA